RNAcentral lists this ribosomal RNA (832 nucleotides) under uncultured bacterium. RNAcentral's name for it is "bacterial SSU rRNA". It matches the Rfam family "Bacterial small subunit ribosomal RNA", at positions 36 to 873 of the family's 1533-position model. The record is from RNAcentral.
CUGGCGGUGCGCCUUAUGCAUGCAAGUCGAGCGAAGCUUUUCAGUAGUUUACUACAGAAAAUGACUGAGCGGCGAACGGGUGAGUAACGCGUGAGCAAUCUACCUUAGUUACUGGGAUAGCCCGAGGAAACUCGGAUUAAUACCGGAUAAUCUUAUUACAUCACAUGAUAUUUUAAGUAAAGGUCAGCCGAACUAAGAUGAGCUCGCGUUCUAUCAGCUUGUUGGUGGGGUAAAAGCCUACCAAGGCUACGACGGAUAGCUGGUCUGAGAGGACGAUCAGCCACACUGGGACUGAGACACGGCCCAGACUCCUACGGGAGGCUGCAGCAGGGAAUAUUGCGCAAUGAGCGAAAGCUUGACGCAGCGACACCGCGUGUGGGAUGACGGUUCUAGGAUUGUAAACCACUUUCAGGAGGGAAGAAAAUGACGGUACCUCCACAAGAAGCCCCGGCCAACUACGUGCCAGCAGCCGCGGUAAUACGUAGGGGGCGAGCGUUGUCCGGAUUUAUUGGGCGUAAAGAGCUCGUAGGCGGUUCAACAAGUCGGUCGUGAAAGUUCAGGGCUUAACCCUGAAAUGUCGAUCGAUACUGUUGUGACUAGGAUAUGGUAGAGGUGAGUGGAAUUCCGAGUGUAGCGGUGAAAUGCGUAGAUAUUCGGAGGAACACCAAUAGCGAAGGCAGCUCACUGGGCCACUAUCGACGCUGAGGAGCGAAAGCUAGGGGAGCAAACAGGAUUAGAUACCCUGGUAGUCCUAGCUGUAAACGAUGGAUACUAGAUGUAGGAGUUGGAUUGACGAUUUCUGUAUCGUAGCUAACGCGUUAAGUAUCCCGCC